This 124-nucleotide non-coding RNA is filed under the name Dunaliella tertiolecta. The record is from RNAcentral. Lineage: Eukaryota; Viridiplantae; Chlorophyta; Chlorophyceae; Chlamydomonadales; Dunaliellaceae.
AAAUGCAAAAUCAGGUUUCUUGAUUUCAUAGACCUUGUAUUUGAACUGGCUGGUACAUUCAUUUUACCCAUGGAACUUUGGGCCAAUGUGUGUCCUUUUUGUAAAUAGAUGCAGGAAGAGCUAA